CCUCGGCGGCGGCAGAGGCGGCAGCGCUCGCCAUUGCCGCUGGUGGCAGGAGGCUGCGAGGAGCCGGCGCGGUCGCAGUCUCCACGGCGCAGGCCCACGGUAGCGCAGCCGCUCUGAGAGUUAGAGACCAGAUAUCCAGAAUCAAGGUGUCUGCAGGGCUCUAGAGGAGAAUCUGUUCUUUGCCUCUUCCAGCUUUUGGUAGCAUUCUUUGACUUGUGGCCACAUCACUCCAGUGUCUACCUCCAUGGUCAUAUUGUCUACUGUUUAAUCUCCAUUUGGGUCAUUCUUAUAUGGAUACUUGUCAUUGGAUUUAGGACACACCCACAUAAUUCAAGGUAAUAUUUUCUCAAGAUCCUUAAUUUAGUUAUGUCUUCAAAGACCUUUUUCCCAAAUAAGAUAACAUUCACAAAUUCCAGUGAUUAGGACAUGAACAUAUCUUUUUUGGUAGCUACCUUUAUUAUUAUUAUUAGUUAGCUUUUUGUUGCUAGGACAAAAUACCUGACACAUACAACUUAAGAGAGGAAGGGUUUAUUGUCAUUCACAAUUUCAGAGGUUUCAAUCUAUGAUUGGCUGGCUCUGAAGCAGAAACAUCAUGGAAGGAGCAUGCAGAAGAAAGCUACUAACCUCAUGGUGGCCAGAAGGGAGAGAGUGAGGGAAGAGCCAUAGAGGAAGGGGCCUGGAAGCAAAUAUUUCCCAAGGUCAUGCUCCUGUGUCCUAGAUUCUAGAAAUGUACUUUACUAAUCUAGGCAUCUCUCAGUCCAGUCUAAUUGAUGAUCAAGAUUAACCAUCACACAACCUUUCAACCCACUGCUUGCUCUGGGAUUAAAUCCUGAUACUGACCCCUACUAGUUCUGCAGCCAUAGGCAUGUUACCUAACCUUUCUGAGCCCCAAUUUUAAGACAUAGAUAAUAAUGCCUUUAUCAUUGAUUUGUGAAGAUAUAAAGAAAAUUCAUGUGAAAUUCUUAACACAUGGUAGCUACUUCAUCAAGUGUUGCUUUAGUCAUAUCAAACUACCCUGAUAGCACAGUUUUGUACUGUGUCAGCAUCCCUGGUUAGCAUGUGUGGCCUAGAACCUAUCAUAAGUCAUAGGAGUAGUAUAAUAAAUUAUGUAGUAAAUUCUACAAUAUCUUGGAUUUUUCUCUGUUCUAGACACCAGUUAGCCAACUAUGAUGUAGCCCAAGUUUAAAUUUAGGAUUAUCUGUAACUAUAUCAUAAAAUCAGCUCAGCAAGCUUAGAAUUGCUUAAAAUCCCCAAAUCUUUCAUAGAUGAUUAGGACUACAGAGUGCCAAAGAAUGUAUAUAUCAGGAAAAGAGAAACAUAUUAAUAUUUUAGUAUAUGUGCUGCCGAAGCGAGCACUAUAUUAAUAUUUUAAUACUAAAUUUAUUGAGAUAUCAUGAGAUUAAUACAAGUUACCUUUGGCCUCUACAAUUACAAGAGGUACUCACAGUGGUGAUCAUUAGCUUCCAGACAUUUAUUAGUAGGGAACUGCUGAAGUGCGUAUACACUUUUUUGCCAGACUGUAUAUUGUGUUGUUAUGUAUUUAGAUAGGAGUGCACUUUGACACAGGUUACAAGUGUUACAUUAUUAAGACAUAGUACCUGGUGGCUAAGUUAAAACAUGCUGAAUUUAGUGUUGCUGUGUGGUUUAAGGAAACUUACCUAUUGUUUUGCUUCAGAGAAUAUUUCUUAAAGCAAAUGCUGUGAUAAAUAUAAAAAGGAAAAGAACUACCAGUGAAGGAGUAACUAUCAGCUAUGUUGGGCAGAUAGAUGGUAUCACUAAUCAAUGGCUGAUCACUUCCAGGCUGAUGGACAGCUUUCUCUUGACGUUUCUAUCAGGUAUAAGAUGUGUGUCCAUUGCUAAUGUGAUAAAUGUGCAUCCAAUGAUUUAUGUAUCUACUCAUAUUUUUUGGAAUGAGACAGAAUACUAGAGAAAUGAGUAGUGUGGAAAUUGUAUCUUUUUUUUGUUUUUUUGGUACCGGGGAUCGAACUUGGGACCUUGUGCUUUCGAGGCAGGUGCCAGAACCAGUGAGCUAAAUUCCCAUGCCCUGGAAAUAGUAUCUUUUAAAAUAUCUAAUUUUGAAGGCUGGGGUAGCCUAGUGGUGCCACCGCCUUCCUCAAAAGCACAAAGUCCUGAGUUCAGUCCCUGGUACCAAAAAAAAAAAAAUCUAAUUUUGAAUAGGUAUUGCAUACACAUUGUUAAAAAGUCAAACAGUAUAAAAAGGAAUACAGUGCAAAAUGAGUUUCUCUCCCCCAGUUUCACAAAUGAUAUGGUAACAUAUAUGCAUAAAGUACUUUAAAAAAAAAAGACAUUUUGUAUCCUAAUCCUUAAGACCAGUGUAGGAUUUAAAGUUUUUUGCCCUAUUGUUGAAAGACAGGGAACCACAUUCUGUAGGUUUUCGUUACUAAUUUGAUUGUGUGGGAUGCAUUCUCAAGAGAAUUGUAUAUGAUGAUUUUGUCAUUUGUGAAAGAAUUUUCCUUAAAGGGUGAUUCAGUUUAUACCAGAGAAACAAAACCUAUCUUAAUUCAGGUCACUUACUUAGAAAAGGAGUAAAGAAAAAACCUAUCAGUUCAAAUUGGUUUAACACAUUAUCUUGGUACUGCUCAGCCCCUUUUCAUGCUUGCUAGUGAAUUACUUGUUUUGAUUGUAUUGAUAGUGAGAUAAAAUAAUUUCAGGUAGUACUGGUCCAAUUUAGGAAGACCUGGACUGUCCAAAAAUAGAAGGGCUUUGGCAUUCAUCACAUUCUACCGUGGGUUAUUAUUUGUAGUUGUUAUUCUAUAAACCAGUGGUUCUUCUCAGAAACCUUCUAUUUAAAAAAUUGAGGACUUCAAAGAGCAUGAUGUGCUAAAUGCAUUUUGCAUAAUGAGAUGAUGUGUUAGUUACUUUUCUCUCUUUGCUAAGACAAAAUACCCAACACCCAAAGUUAAAGGGGAAAAGGUUUAUUUGGUUUACAGUUUGUAGAAGUUUCAGUCCAUAAUUGCCUAGGUCCAAGGCAGGGAUGGCAAACAGGCAUUGCAGAGGAGAAAUAACAUGGCAUGCACAGUGUCUUUCUGCUCCUUUUAUCUUAUUCAGACUACCAGGAUUGGGGCGGUGCCAAACUAAUCACUCAGGGCUAGUGGUUUAGUAAUCAUCCACCCUUAAUCCUACCAUCACACACUCUAGAUUAGCUACCUUGGAAAAAGACUGCAUGAGGCUUUGAGGGGACAUCUAGACAAAGCCACAACAGAUGGGCAUGAAGUCUUUGGGGGGGUCAUGGGUAAAAUGUUAUGGUUUAGAUCUAAAAUGACUCCCAAAAUUUGUGUGGAAUGUGAUUGGAUCAUGGGAGAAUUAUACUCAUCAGUGGAUUUAUCCACUGAUGAAUGUUCAUAGCUCAAUGUGCUAUGGAGAUAGAGCCAGGUUGGAAGAGGUUGGAAGAGAUGGAUCACUCACUGGGUGUGUGACCUAGAAGGGUAAAUCUCCUAGCUUCUGCCUUCUCUCUGUGCUUCCUGGCUUACUGAGUGAGCAUCUUUUCCUCUUUUACGCCCCCUCUGCCAUCCUGUUUCUGCCUUGGAGCCAGCCAACUAUGGUCUGAAACAGUGAGCCAAAAUAAACUUUUCCUCCUUUAAGUUGUGGGUGUUGGGUAUUUUGUCCCAAAGACAAGAAAGUGACUCAGACACCCAGGUUGGGCUCAAACUUGUAAUCCUCUUGCCUCAGCCUCUCAGAGUACUGGGACUACAGGUGUGUGCCACCACACCAGCAGGGUUAGAGUUACAACUUUUGAUAUUUACAA
Molecule: long non-coding RNA, 3766 nt
Filed under: Heterocephalus glaber (naked mole-rat)
Lineage: Eukaryota; Metazoa; Chordata; Mammalia; Rodentia; Bathyergidae
Description: lncRNA (ENSHGLG00100047691.1)
Source: RNAcentral